RNAcentral lists this ribosomal RNA (253 nucleotides) under uncultured bacterium. RNAcentral's name for it is "partial 16S ribosomal RNA". It matches the Rfam family "Bacterial small subunit ribosomal RNA", at positions 524 to 776 of the family's 1533-position model. The record is from RNAcentral.
UACAGAGGGUGCGAGCGUUAAUCGGAUUUACUGGGCGUAAAGCGUACGUAGGCGGCUUUUUAAGUCGGAUGUGAAAUCCCUGAGCUUAACUUAGGAAUUGCAUUCGAUACUGGGAAACUAGAGUAUGGGAGAGGAUGGUAGAAUUCCAGGUGUAGCGGUGAAAUGCGUAGAGAUCUGGAGGAAUACCGAUGGCGAAGGCAGCCAUCUGGCCUAAUACUGACGCUGAGGUACGAAAGCAUGGGGAGCAAACAGG